GAUGAACGCUAGCGAUAGGCCUAACACAUGCAAGUCGAGGGGCAGCAUAAAGGUAGCAAUACCUUUGAUGGCGACCGGCGCACGGGUGAGUAACGCGUAUGCAACCUACCUUCUACAGGGGAAUAACCCGGAGAAAUUCGGACUAAUACCCCAUAACACAGGGAUGCCGCAUGGCAAUAUUUGUUAAAGAACUUCGGUAGAAGAUGGGCAUGCGUUCCAUUAGCCAGUUGGUGAGGUAACGGCUCACCAAAGCAACGAUGGAUAGGGGAACUGAGAGGUUUAUCCCCCACACUGGAACUGAGACACGGACCAGACUCCUACGGGAGGCAGCAGUGAGGAAUAUUGGUCAAUGGGCGAGAGCCUGAACCAGCCAAAUCGCGUGAAGGAAGACUGCCUUAUGGGUUGUAAACUUCUUUUAUAGGGGAAUAAAAAUAGUUACGAGUAACUUCUUGCAUGUACCCUAUGAAUAAGCAUCGGCUAACUCCGUGCCAGCCGCCGCAGUAAAA
This 506-nucleotide ribosomal RNA is filed under the name uncultured bacterium. RNAcentral describes it as "bacterial SSU rRNA". It matches the Rfam family "Bacterial small subunit ribosomal RNA", at positions 28 to 525 of the family's 1533-position model. The record is from RNAcentral.